AGGCCUGUAGCUCAAUGGUUAGAGCAGAGCGCUCAUAACGCUUUGGUUGGGGGUUCGAAUCCCUCCAGGCCUACCA
RNAcentral lists this transfer RNA (76 nucleotides) under Paracoccaceae bacterium. RNAcentral describes it as "Rhodobacteraceae bacterium tRNA-Ile". It matches the Rfam family "tRNA". Rfam says of the family: Transfer RNA (tRNA) molecules are approximately 80 nucleotides in length. Their secondary structure includes four short double-helical elements and three loops (D, anti-codon, and T loops). Further hydrogen bonds mediate the characteristic L-shaped molecular structure. tRNAs have two regions of fundamental functional importance: the anti-codon, which is responsible for specific mRNA codon recognition, and the 3' end, to which the tRNAs corresponding amino acid is attached (by aminoacyl-tRNA synthetases). tRNAs cope with the degeneracy of the genetic code in two manners: having more than one tRNA (with a specific anti-codon) for a particular amino acid; and 'wobble' base-pairing, i.e. permitting non-standard base-pairing at the 3rd anti-codon position. The record is from RNAcentral. Lineage: Bacteria; Pseudomonadati; Pseudomonadota; Alphaproteobacteria; Rhodobacterales; Paracoccaceae.